AUUGGAUCCAGACUUUGAUCAUGGCUCAGGAUGAACGCUAGCUACAGGCUUAACACAUGCAAGUCGAGGGGCAGCAUGACGAUAGCUUGCUUCCGAUAGGCGUCGACCGGCGCACGGGUGAGUAACGCGUAUCCAACCUGCCCAUCACUUGGGGAUAACCUUGCGAAAGUAAGACUAAUACCCAAUGACGUCUCUAGAAGACAUCUGAAGGAGAUUAAAGAUUUAUCGGUGAUGGAUGGGGAUGCGUCUGAUUAGCUUGUUGGCGGGGUAACGGCCCACCAAGGCGACGAUCAGUAGGGGUUCUGAGAGGAAGGUCCCCCACAUUGGAACUGAGACACGGUCCAAACUCCUACGGGAGGCAGCAGUGAGGAAUAUUGGUCAAUGGACGAGAGUCUGAACCAGCCAAGUAGCGUGCAGGAUGACGGCCCUAUGGGUUGUAAACUGCUUUUAUAAGGGAAUAAAGUGAGCUACGUGUAGCUUUUUGCAUGUACCUUAUGAAUAAGGACCGGCUAAUUCCGUGCCAGCAGCCGCGGUAAUACGGAAGGUCCGGGCGUUAUCCGGAUUUAUUGGGUUUAAAGGGAGCGUAGGCCGGAGAUUAAGCGUGUUGUGAAAUGUAGAUGCUCAACAUCUGCACUGCAGCGCGAACUGGUUUCCUUGAGUACGCACAAAGUGGGCGGAAUUCGUGGUGUAGCGGUGAAAUGCUUAGAUAUCACGAAGAACUCCGAUUGCGAAGGCAGCUCACUGGAGCGCAACUGACGCUGAAGCUCGAAAGUGCGGGUAUCGAACAGGAUUAGAUACCCUGGUAGUCCGCACGGUAAACGAUGGAUGCCCGCUGUUGGUCUGAAUAGGUCAGCGGCCAAGCGAAAGCAUUAAGCAUCCCACCUGGGGAGUACGCCGGCAACGGUGCAACUCAAAUGAAUUGACGGA
RNAcentral lists this ribosomal RNA (927 nucleotides) under uncultured organism. RNAcentral's name for it is "bacterial SSU rRNA". It matches the Rfam family "Bacterial small subunit ribosomal RNA", at positions 1 to 917 of the family's 1533-position model. The record is from RNAcentral.